RNAcentral lists this ribosomal RNA (253 nucleotides) under uncultured bacterium. RNAcentral's name for it is "partial 16S ribosomal RNA". It matches the Rfam family "Bacterial small subunit ribosomal RNA", at positions 524 to 777 of the family's 1533-position model. The record is from RNAcentral.
UACGUAGGGUGCAAGCGUUGUCCGGAAUUAUUGGGCGUAAAGAGCUCGUAGGCGGUUUGUCGCGUCUGCUGUGAAAACCCGAGGCUCAACCUCGGGCCCGCAGUGGGUACGGGCAGACUAGAGUGCGGUAGGGGAGAUUGGAAUUCCUGGUGUAGCGGUGGAAUGCGCAGAUAUCAGGAGGAACACGGUGGCGAAGGCGGGUCUCUGGGCAGUAACUGACGCUGAGGAGCGAAAGCGUGGGGAGCGAACAGGA